CCCUUAGACGUUCUGGGCCGCACGCGCGCUACACUGACCAGUGCAACAAGCAUCCGUCCUUGGCCGACAGGCCCGGGCAAUCUUUGAACGCUGGUCGUGAUGGGGAUAGACUUUUGCAAUUUUUGGUCUUCAACGAGGAAUUCCUAGUAAACGCAAGUCAUCAACUUGCAUUGAUUACGUCCCUGCCCUUUGUACACACCGCCCGUCGCACCUACCGAUUGAAUGGUCCGGUGAAGCCUCCGGAUUGGCGCGCACCUAGGUGCCGCCGAGAAGUUGGCUAAACCUUACCAUUUAGAGGAAGGUGAAGUCGUAACA
RNAcentral lists this ribosomal RNA (315 nucleotides) under uncultured eukaryote. RNAcentral's name for it is "partial 18S ribosomal RNA". It matches the Rfam family "Eukaryotic small subunit ribosomal RNA", at positions 1470 to 1796 of the family's 1831-position model. The record is from RNAcentral.